UCCUCAUUCCGAUGGUCUCUUCUUUUCUUUAUUUUCUUGUUCAGCCAAACACGUCCUAACCUAUGCACCUCUGAGCUUUUAGGAAAAUCCCCCCUCAAUAUAGAAAUCACCAUUUUCUGGACCAUCAUUCUGUUGUGUUGAGAGCAAGUUUUUUACUUCGCAUCAUGAUUCUAGUCUAGAUAAGAAUUGUGUAUAUGACUAUAUCGCGCAAUUAUCGGUUAGUGCUUAAAGGACGAGACUUCCAAGUAUAGCUUGAAAUCUGGGACAGACAGAUAGCUUUUAGGUAGGCUCUAUCGUGGUUAGUCUAAAACUUACGUGGAUUAUCUUUUUUUGUGCAUCAAUCACUUUGGGUUCUAUUGCACGACUUAGUUUGCCUCAUCCUUUCACAUUUAUGCCAACAUGCUCAUCUAGCUUUCUGGCGAUGCUUUUCUUUAGUGACUUACUCCUUUGUGAUUGUGUUACAACAUGUUCUGAUAUUACCAUAUACAUUCAUUGAGAGAAAUAUAGACGUGAAAUCCAUGAUAUCAUUGAGAAUAUACAUAUGAACUGUUAUUCAUCCUGGCCAUUAAAAAACUUUGGAGUGUUUUGUUCAAUUUUGACAGGAACAGUCUGCUAUUAUUGAUAAUAUAACUGCUUAAUGUGCCUUCUAUUUUUGUUCUUCAGGUGGUGAAAAAAUACAUAUAGGAAAAAUGCUGAUUCCAGUUGUAUAUCAAUAGGAAUUAUGCAGAUGCUGUGCUUUAUUCCCUAAACUGGCACAAGGGAGACUAUGAACUUGCCGAGUUGAAUGAGGCCUUUGGAGGAUAGGAAUGCAGGAUAUGGUGGGUUUGGAAUGUUUUUAUCUACUAAUAUGACUUUGGUGAUAAGCAUCCUAAUGAAAUUUUCGUAUACUUCGUUCUAUAAGUAAUGAGCUUAAGAGGGAAGAGUUUUUACUAUCUGAGGCUAAAUUUUGGGGGUUUUAGUAGGAAAGGUUGAACUUAUACAUGAAUUUAGUCUUUUAUUUGUUCAAUCUUGUUAGGACCACAAGAAAUGGGUUUGUGUUAGCGUUCUGAUUGUAGUUAUAUGAUGAAUAACAAGAAACAUUAUGGUCCAUUCAAAUGAUUACUGUCCUUUUCGAGAGGAUUUGGAUUAUCUAAAUAAAAAAGGAAAUAUGGCGUGCAUCU
Molecule: long non-coding RNA, 1160 nt
Filed under: Olea europaea (common olive)
Lineage: Eukaryota; Viridiplantae; Streptophyta; Magnoliopsida; Lamiales; Oleaceae
Description: long non-coding RNA (OEUR_LNC011618)
Source: RNAcentral